RNAcentral lists this ribosomal RNA (253 nucleotides) under uncultured bacterium. RNAcentral's name for it is "partial 16S ribosomal RNA". It matches the Rfam family "Bacterial small subunit ribosomal RNA", at positions 524 to 776 of the family's 1533-position model. The record is from RNAcentral.
UACGUAGGGUGCGAGCGUUGUCCGGAAUUAUUGGGCGUAAAGGGCUCGUAGGCGGUUUGUCGCGUCGGGAGUGAAAUCCACUGGCUUAACUGGUGGCUUGCUUUCGAUACGGGCAGACUGGAGGUAUGCAGGGGAGAACGGAAUUCCUGGUGUAGCGGUGAAAUGCGCAGAUAUCAGGAGGAACACCGGUGGCGAAGGCGGUUCUCUGGGCAUGUCCUGACGCUGAGGCGCGAAAGCUAGGGGAGCAAACAGG